This 348-nucleotide ribosomal RNA is filed under the name Escherichia coli. Its description in RNAcentral is "partial 23S ribosomal RNA". It matches the Rfam family "Bacterial large subunit ribosomal RNA", at positions 1 to 385 of the family's 2925-position model. The record is from RNAcentral. Lineage: Bacteria; Pseudomonadati; Pseudomonadota; Gammaproteobacteria; Enterobacterales; Enterobacteriaceae.
GGUUAAGCGACUAAGCGUACACGGUGGAUGCCCUGGCAGUCAGAGGCGAUGAAGGACGUGCUAAUCUGCGAUAAGCGUCGGUAAGGUGAUAUGAACCGUUAUAACCGGCGAUUUCCGAAUGGGGAAACCCAGUGUGUUUCGACACACUAUCAUUAACUGAAUCCAUAGGUUAAUGAGGCGAACCGGGGGAACUGAAACAUCUAAGUACCCCGAGGAAAAGAAAUCAACCGAGAUUCCCCCAGUAGCGGCGAGCGAACGGGGAGGAGCCCAGAGCCUGAAUCAGUGUGUGUGUUAGUGGAAGCGUCUGGAAAGGCGCGCGAUACAGGGUGACAGCCCCGUACACAAAAA